GACGAACGCUGGCGGCGUGCUUAGCACAUGCAAGUCGAACGGAAAGGCCCUGCUUUUGUGGGGUGCUCGAGUGGCGAACGGGUGAGUAACACGUGAGUAACCUGCCCUUGACUUUGGGAUAACUUCAGGAAACUGGGGCUAAUACCGGAUAGGAGCUCCUGCUGCAUGGUGGGGGUUGGAAAGUUUCGGCGGUUGGGGAUGGACUCGCGGCUUAUCAGCUUGUUGGUGGGGUAGUGGCUUACCAAGGCUUUGACGGGUAGCCGGCCUGAGAGGGUGACCGGCCACAUUGGGACUGAGAUACGGACCAGACUCCUACGGGAGGCAGCAGUGGGGAAUAUUGCACAAUGGGCGGAAGCCUGAUGCAGCAACGCCGCGUGCGGGAUGACGGCCUUCGGGUUGUAAACCGCUUUCGCCUGUGACGAAGCGUGAGUGACGGUAAUGGGUAAAGAAGCACCGGCUAACUACGUG
Molecule: ribosomal RNA, 468 nt
Filed under: uncultured bacterium
Lineage: Bacteria
Description: partial 16S ribosomal RNA
Rfam family: Bacterial small subunit ribosomal RNA
Source: RNAcentral